GUGCAUCAACCAAAUAUUCAAAAUUCGAGACCUCAUUUUCUACAAGGUUCUGCUACAGCUUUGGUUGCAAGAUGUUCUCCAAGGAUACCCUGCACUGGACAUGAUUGAACUUGUAAAAUGUGCAAGUGUCAAUGAUUUGCUACAGUAAGAUAACAAGUAACAGGAAUAAUACCUAUUUCUUCAAGAUGUUCUUCAAUUUUGGUACAAUAACCUAUUUGUUAUCUCAGUUUCAGGAAUACUACCUAUUUUUUUCAAAAUGUUCUUAAGUUUUCCUACAAUAACCUAUUUGUUAUUUCAGUUUCUCACAUUAGCAUGGGUAUAAUACCUAAGUUGUUGUUUUUUUCAACUGAACUUAACGAAUUUGACAAAAUAAUUGAGUGAUUUGUUCUAGAACCCUAUAUAAAAUUUGAUACAAACACAACUGAAAAAAAUCAAUUAUACUAAAAACUUGAGCAUGCGCUUCUAGGUUAAUAUGACAGGACUAUCUACAACAGCUUGAGUACAUAAGUUAUUAGAGGUUUCUUGUGUGCCUAGGGUGUUUCCUUCUUAAUACAAAUGCCACACGGGCUAGUCCCUAUUUUUCUGGUUUGCUGCAUUAGAGGUUUCUUGCAAGUCAAGCUCAAAUUACAGUAUCAAUCAGUUAUUUGAUUUCAAAAUAAUAUGGUACAGUUUCUUGCCUUGAUAGAUAACCUCAUGUUAUUGUUGAAAGCUCUCUGUCUUUGUCUUCAUGAUGUUCCUUGUGCCUGCCAUGCUACCGCUCCAUGCUUUCUAAAUCCCAACAUAAUGAAAGAGAAUGAAACCAAAAGGUUGGACAAACAAAACGAGAGAACAAUUUAUUGUGGUACUGGAAAAGAUCCCAACAAAAUAUAAAGAGUGGCUACGUUCAAACUAAACCGACAUAGCAGCUACUUGCUCAACCCAGAUAUCAUGAUCUUGAGGACACAUGACAUAUGAUGGUCAUAUACAGGAGACAACUUGACAA
RNAcentral lists this ribosomal RNA (982 nucleotides) under Triticum aestivum (bread wheat). Its description in RNAcentral is "partial small subunit ribosomal RNA". Lineage: Eukaryota; Viridiplantae; Streptophyta; Magnoliopsida; Poales; Poaceae. The record is from RNAcentral.